GCUUUGAACGCUGUCAUAGUAGUCAGCUGAUUUUCAAUGCGCGCAAAUAUACCCGCCAUUCUUUGUUGUGCCAGCAAGUAUAAUUAUACCUUGCUUUUUUAUCGUUCCGGUUUUGGUGAAGCUGCAUUUGGCUGCGCCACUCACCACCCGUGUUUAUAAGACGUAAUAUUCAAUUGGAGAUACCUUGCUUUUUAUCGUUCCGGCCACCAGAUUCGUUGGUUUUCAUAAAGUUUCAUUUGGCAGUACAAAAUGUUGACUCGAAAUGCUGAACA
This 272-nucleotide long non-coding RNA is filed under the name Rhagoletis pomonella (apple maggot). RNAcentral describes it as "uncharacterized LOC118753507". The record is from RNAcentral. Lineage: Eukaryota; Metazoa; Arthropoda; Insecta; Diptera; Tephritidae.